RNAcentral lists this ribosomal RNA (1155 nucleotides) under Escherichia coli. RNAcentral describes it as "partial 23S ribosomal RNA". It matches the Rfam family "Bacterial large subunit ribosomal RNA", at positions 589 to 1746 of the family's 2925-position model. Lineage: Bacteria; Pseudomonadati; Pseudomonadota; Gammaproteobacteria; Enterobacterales; Enterobacteriaceae. The record is from RNAcentral.
GCGUGUGACUGCGUACCUUUUGUAUAAUGGGUCAGCGACUUAUAUUCUGUAGCAAGGUUAACCGAAUAGGGGAGCCGAAGGGAAACCGAGUCUUAACUGGGCGUUAAGUUGCAGGGUAUAGACCCGAAACCCGGUGAUCUAGCCAUGGGCAGGUUGAAGGUUGGGUAACACUAACUGGAGGACCGAACCGACUAAUGUUGAAAAAUUAGCGGAUGACUUGUGGCUGGGGGUGAAAGGCCAAUCAAACCGGGAGAUAGCUGGUUCUCCCCGAAAGCUAUUUAGGUAGCGCCUCGUGAAUUCAUCUCCGGGGGUAGAGCACUGUUUCGGCAAGGGGGUCAUCCCGACUUACCAACCCGAUGCAAACUGCGAAUACCGGAGAAUGUUAUCACGGGAGACACACGGCGGGUGCUAACGUCCGUCGUGAAGAGGGAAACAACCCAGACCGCCAGCUAAGGUCCCAAAGUCAUGGUUAAGUGGGAAACGAUGUGGGAAGGCCCAGACAGCCAGGAUGUUGGCUUAGAAGCAGCCAUCAUUUAAAGAAAGCGUAAUAGCUCACUGGUCGAGUCGGCCUGCGCGGAAGAUGUAACGGGGCUAAACCAUGCACCGAAGCUGCGGCAGCGACGCUUAUGCGUUGUUGGGUAGGGGAGCGUUCUGUAAGCCUGUGAAGGUGUACUGUGAGGUAUGCUGGAGGUAUCAGAAGUGCGAAUGCUGACAUAAGUAACGAUAAAGCGGGUGAAAAGCCCGCUCGCCGGAAGACCAAGGGUUCCUGUCCAACGUUAAUCGGGGCAGGGUGAGUCGACCCCUAAGGCGAGGCCGAAAGGCGUAGUCGAUGGGAAACAGGUUAAUAUUCCUGUACUUGGUGUUACUGCGAAGGGGGGACGGAGAAGGCUAUGUUGGCCGGGCGACGGUUGUCCCGGUUUAAGCGUGUAGGCUGGUUUUCCAGGCAAAUCCGGAAAAUCAAGGCUGAGGCGUGAUGACGAGGCACUACGGUGCUGAAGCAACAAAUGCCCUGCUUCCAGGAAAAGCCUCUAAGCAUCAGGUAACAUCAAAUCGUACCCCAAACCGACACAGGUGGUCAGGUAGAGAAUACCAAGGCGCUUGAGAGAACUCGGGUGAAGGAACUAGGCAAAAUGGUGCCGUAACUUCGGGAGAAGG